RNAcentral lists this ribosomal RNA (373 nucleotides) under uncultured organism. RNAcentral's name for it is "partial 16S ribosomal RNA". It matches the Rfam family "Bacterial small subunit ribosomal RNA", at positions 527 to 896 of the family's 1533-position model. The record is from RNAcentral.
GUAGGUGGCAAGCGUUGUCCGGAAUUAUUGGGCGUAAAGCGCGCGCAGGCGGUUCUUUAAGUCUGAUGUGAAAGCCCACGGCUCAACCGUGGAGGGUCAUUGGAAACUGGAGAACUUGAGUACAGAAGAGGAAAGCGGAAUUCCACGUGUAGCGGUGAAAUGCGUAGAGAUGUGGAGGAACACCAGUGGCGAAGGCGGCUUUCUGGUCUGUAACUGACGCUGAGGCGCGAGAGCGUGGGGAGCAAACAGGAUUAGGAUACCCUGGUAGUCCACGCCGUAAACGAUGAGUGCUAAGUGUUAGGGGGUUUCCGCCCCCCUUAGUGCUGCAGCUAACGCAUUAAGCACUCCGCCUGGGAGUACGGCCGCAAGGCUG